This 501-nucleotide ribosomal RNA is filed under the name uncultured bacterium. RNAcentral describes it as "partial 16S ribosomal RNA". It matches the Rfam family "Bacterial small subunit ribosomal RNA", at positions 30 to 523 of the family's 1533-position model. The record is from RNAcentral.
AUUGAACGCUGGCGGCAGGCUUAACACAUGCAAGUCGAGCGGGGGAAGGUAGCUUGCUACCGGACCUAGCGGCGGACGGGUGAGUAAUGCUUAGGAAUCUGCCUAUUAGUGGGGGACAACAUCUCGAAAGGGAUGCUAAUACCGCAUACGUCCUACGGGAGAAAGCAGGGGAUCUUCGGACCUUGCGCUAAUAGAUGAGCCUAAGUCGGAUUAGCUAGUUGGUGGGGUAAAGGCCUACCAAGGCGACGAUCUGUAGCGGGUCUGAGGGGAUGAUCCGCCACACUGGGACAGAAACACGGCCCAGACUCCUACGGGAGGCAGCAGGGGGGAAUAUUGGACAAUGGGGGAAACCCUGAUCCAGCCAUGCCGCGUGUGUGAAGAAGGCCCUAUGGUUGUAAAGCACUUUAAGCGAGGAGGAGGCUACUCUAGUUAAUACCUAGGGAUAGUGGACGUUACUCGCAGAAUAAGCACCGGCUAACUCUGUGCCAGCAGCCGCCGCGG